RNAcentral lists this long non-coding RNA (1022 nucleotides) under Equus caballus (horse). Its description in RNAcentral is "lncRNA (ENSECAG00000051602.1)". The record is from RNAcentral. Lineage: Eukaryota; Metazoa; Chordata; Mammalia; Perissodactyla; Equidae.
AGGAUGUGGUGGGGGCCAUGAAGGGUUUAAGCAGAAGAGGGACACAUCACAAUCGAUGGGUCGUCUGGGCAGCUGUGGGGUGCACAGACGCGGGGCACCUGCAGGCAGGAACAGUCAGGAAGCUGUUUUCAUUAGUCUAGGCCAGAAAGAGCUAUGAGUUCCUCGCAGUGGCCACAGGGUUAGAGAAGCGAAGAUGGCUCCUCAAGACUUAGAACGCUCUUAAGUCGCUAACCCAUGGGGUGCGGCAGUGGGGGACAGGGCGGGGUCUAAGUUAAAGGCAAGCAGCCGCGCGGCGGGGCUGCCUGCAGACCGCUCCCGCUUACUCGCACCUCUCGGCCUCUGUGGCAGCUCCGUGCUUUUCCUGGGCGUCUCUCUCCUCCCCUGUUGCCCUCUUUUCUGGCUCAGAUCACCUCCGCGGUUUCACUUCUUCAUCUUGCUUAAAGGCCUUGUAGAGGUGGCAGGUUAUCUGGGGCUGCAGCCUGAACAUAGGAAGUCCUCGCCCAGCUUUGUCUAGACGGCUGAGAUCCCCGGCCCGGGCGGAGGCCCCUUGGGCCCCUCUGGGUCCUUGACAUCGUUCGUGGAGCCUCAGCAGGUCUGUCCCCCGGGAAGCCAAGGUGGGACAUCAGCCUGGCGGCUGGCCAAGUCAUGGAGAACCGCCUGCCCAUCUUUGAGCCAUAACACUCACGCUGGAAGUCAACAAGGGAAAUGGAAAGGCAGAGACCAACCUCCUCCGCGGGCACGCGCCCUGGGACCCAUGCCAGCGCGCAUGCGGCUUCCGGGCCUCUGCUUUCCAAAGGCCCAGGAGAGCGAGGCUCUGCGACUGCCCCCAGGGAGAGAGCCCAAGUACAGGAUUUCCAGGCUCCCUCUUCUCAACGUGCGCAGCUUCUUCCUCCAGCACCAGACAGGGCAACGGAGCUCCUGGGGUCUCCUCCAGAGCCUUUCCAGGGGCCUCCGCCUCCUUCCUGAAAGGUCAGGGGAUGGGAAGACGGUCGACCUGUGAAGAGGAGGAUUUCUCUAGUGAG